Molecule: ribosomal RNA, 1217 nt
Filed under: uncultured Rhizaria
Lineage: Eukaryota
Description: SSU rRNA
Rfam family: Eukaryotic small subunit ribosomal RNA
Source: RNAcentral
CGGUAAUUCCAGCUCCAAUAGCGUAUACUAAAGUUGUUGCAGUUAAAAAGCUCGUAGUUGGAUUUCUGCGGGGACGGAGCGGCCGGACGCAACUUGCGUCUCGAGCUAGCGCUUUCCCCGCAUCCUGCCGCGAACCGUGCUACCAUUAGCUUGGUGGCGCUGGAGAUCGGCUCGAUUACUUUGAGAAAAAUAGAGUGUUCAAAGCAGGCCACACGCCUUGAAUAAGUUAGCAUGGAAUAAUGACUAAGGACUUCGGUUCUAUUUUGUUGGUGUUCGGGACUGAAGUAAUGAUUGAUAGGGACAGUUGGGGCGGUCUGUAUUCCAAAGCGAGAGGUGAAAUUCUUAGACCUUCGGAAGACAAACAGCUGCGAAAGCGUUCCGCAAGGAUGUUCCCUUUGAUCAAGAACGAAAGUUGGGGGAUCGAAGACGAUCAGAUACCGUCGUAGUCUCAACUAUAAACUAUACCAGCUAGGGAUCGGUCAACGUUUAAUCAUUCGACUUGAUCGGUACCUUAUGAGAAAUCAAAGCAUCUGGGUUCCGGGGGGAGUAUGGUCGCAAGGCUGAAACUUAAAGGAAUUGACGGAAGGGCACCACCAGCCGUGGAGCCUGUGGCUUAAUUUGACUCAACACGGGAAAACUUACCAGGUCCAGACAUAGUAAGGAUUGACAGAUUGAUAGCUCUUUCUUGAUUCUGUGGGUGGUGGUGCAUGGCCGUUCUUAGUUGGUGGAGUGAUUUGUCUGGUUAAUUCCGUUAACGAACGAGACCCCAGCCUGCUAAAUAGCGCGGCUGAGCUUUGCUCGGUGCGAGCUUCUUAGAGGGACUAUGAUGCGCGAUAGCACAUGGAAGUUUGGGGCAAUAACAGGUCUGUGAUGCCCUUAGAUGUUCUGGGCCACACACGGGCUACACUGGCGCCUGCAACGAGCAUAUCAGCUGGCCCGAGAGGGUCUUGGCUAAUCUUUUGAACCGGCGCCGUGCUUGGGAUUGACCAUUGCAAUUGUUGGUCAUGCAACGAGGAAUGCCUUGUAAACGCGAGUCAUCAGCUCGCAUUGAAUACGUCCCUGCCCUUUGUACACACCGCCCGUCGCUCCUACCGAUGAAUGUUCCGAUGAAAUUUUCGGAGAGCGCCGGAGAACGGGGCUCUGCCCUGCAGAACUGGAGGCUCAAAGUCACUUAAAUCUGAACAUUUCGAGGAAGGAGAAGUCGUAACAAGGUAGCC